This 459-nucleotide ribosomal RNA is filed under the name uncultured bacterium. RNAcentral describes it as "bacterial SSU rRNA". It matches the Rfam family "Bacterial small subunit ribosomal RNA", at positions 15 to 474 of the family's 1533-position model. The record is from RNAcentral.
GAUCCUGGCUCAGAUUAAACGCUGGCGGCAUGCCUUACACAUGCAAGUCGAACGGUAGCGCGGGGCAACCUGGCGACGAGUGGCGAACGGGUGAGUAAAGCAUCGGAACGUGCCCUGGAAUGGGGGAUAACGUAGCGAAAGUUACGCUAAUACCGCAUAUUCUGUGAGCAGGAAAGCAGGGGAUCGCAAGACCUUGCGUUCUGGGAGCGGCCGAUGUCGGAUUAGCUAGUUGGUGGGGUAAAGGCCUACCAAGGCGACGAUCCGUAGCGGGUCUGAGAGGAUGAUCCGCCACACUGGGACUGAGACACGGCCCAGACUCCUACGGGAGGCAGCAGUGGGGAAUUUUGGACAAUGGGCGGAAGCCUGAUCCAGCCAUGCCGCGUGAGUGAAGAAGGCCUUCGGGUUGUAAAGCUCUUUCGGUGGGGAAGAAAUUGCACGGGUAAAUACCCUGUGUAGAUG